RNAcentral lists this ribosomal RNA (164 nucleotides) under Lotus anfractuosus. RNAcentral's name for it is "5.8S ribosomal RNA". It matches the Rfam family "5.8S ribosomal RNA". From Rfam's summary of the family: 5.8S ribosomal RNA (5.8S rRNA) is a component of the large subunit of the eukaryotic ribosome. Lineage: Eukaryota; Viridiplantae; Streptophyta; Magnoliopsida; Fabales; Fabaceae. The record is from RNAcentral.
AAAAUGACUCUCGGCAACGGAUAUCUCGGCUCUCGCAUCGAUGAAGAACGUAGCGAAAUGCGAUACUUGGUGUGAAUUGCAGAAUCCCGUGAACCAUCGAGUCUUUGAACGCAAGUUGCGCCCGAAACCAUUAGGUUGAGGGCACGUCUGCCUGGGCGUCACAC